CCUACGGGAGGCUGCAGUGGGGGAUAUUGCACAAUGGGGGAAACCCUGAUGCAGCGACGCCGCGUGGGCGAAGAAGUAUUUCGGUAUGUAAAGCUCUAUCAGCAGGGAAGAAGAAAUGACGGUACCUGAGUAAGAAGCACCGGCUAAAUACGGGCCAGCAGCCGCGGUAAUACGGAGGGUCCAAGCGUUAUCCGGAUUUACUGGGUGUAAAGGGAGCGCAGGCGGCACGGCAAGCCUGAUGUGAAAGCCCGCGGCUCAACCGCGAGACUGCAUUGAGUACUACCGGGCUGGAGUGCCGGAGAGGUAGGCGGAAUGCCUGGUGUAGCGGUGAAAUGCGGAGAGAUUAGACGGAACACCAGUGGCGAAGGCAGCCUACUAGACGGUAACUGACGCUGAGGCUCGAAAGCGUGGGGAGCAAACAGGAUUAGAUACCCCGGUAGUC
RNAcentral lists this ribosomal RNA (442 nucleotides) under uncultured bacterium. RNAcentral describes it as "partial 16S ribosomal RNA". It matches the Rfam family "Bacterial small subunit ribosomal RNA", at positions 338 to 795 of the family's 1533-position model. The record is from RNAcentral.